CACAACCUAGAUCCCUCACAUGUGCAGGUCAUGAUAGGGUUCGCACUUCUGUGAGAAUCUAUUGCAAUGGCUGAUCUAACAGGAGGCGGAGCUCAGGUGGUAAUGUUCGCUUGCCUCCUGCUAUGCGGCUCGGUUCCCAACAGGCCACAGACUGACACUGGUCCAUGGCCCAGGGAUUGGGGACCCCUGCUUUAGAGGGCUGUUGCAAGAUUUGAUAAAGUAUGUAAAAUCUAGUGUAAGUGCCUGAUACAUAGCAAGGGCUCAGUUAAUUCUAGAUGCUGCCUAUUAUCAUUAUUAAAUGAGCAAAAACAACUAUUGUGAUUACUCUUCUACCCUAGCCCUCUGACAUAACAGCCAAAGAGCUAGAAAACCAUGUGGACUCCUAUGAAGCCAUUCUAAGUCACCUGGUCCUAUAGCUGAAGGACUGUGAAGUUCCAAACUUCAAUCUGACAACCCCUAAGAAGGUCUUCCCUGGUUCUGGCUUGCAGGGAUAUCAGGAGUAUGCAGGUGACUCCCAAAGCAGAAAGGUCAUAAAGGACAAGGGCAGGUUAGAUGGGUCCAUUGAGAGACGGAGAAGCCCCCUGCUCCUCACUGAGUUGUGGUCAGGGGCAGUGGAGAAAGGUCUGAGGUCCAAGGGGACCCCAAGUCUGAAUAUAACGCAGCCACAGAAUGCCUGUGCUGAAGUGAGACUGCUCCAGGGAGACAAGCAGUAGCACAAUGUCCCGAGUUGAGGGGUUGGGGUUGUCCUCCCCUGGCCCAGGGAACACUAUGCCCAGGGCAGCCUGAUGUCACAACUGGUAAGGACCACUGGAGCCUGAGUCGGGAGGAAAACAGCCUGGGUGGUCAUAAAGAAUGGCAGAGGGCCAGAGCAGGGAUGUGGCAAGACUGGCACCCUUGAAGUCACCAGAAAGCUAUCCCCUUGGACUUGGGCAGAAGUGGCUCUUAAUAUGAUGAUGUAUUAUCAUUAAUAGUUGCCACCUGCUACCAUGUAUUGAGCACCUAUUGUGUGCCAGACCUAGCACUUAGCUCUUUACAUGGGUUAUCUCAUGUGAUCAUUGUAAGAACCCUAAGGAGGUUUUUCUUACUAUCCUCCAUUUUACAGGUAAGAAAACUGAGGCUCAAAGAGGUUAAAUCAGUUGUUCCAGGUGCAUAGCUUGGGCACCUAGCUUGCAAGUGACAAGGCGAGCCCAGUGCCACCCACACCAGCUCUGGUUCUUUGCCUCCAGCCCUGGCUCCUUUCUCCAACCAUCUUCCCUCUCUGCCCCGGGCAGGUGGGGAGAAAAGGAAGAAAGAGAGGCCCACGUCAUGUGUUUCAGCUUCCCUUUCCCUCUCUGCUGGUGCCCACUGGCCCUCACACCCAUUUCUUGUUGCAGGAAGGUGAACAAGUGCUACCGGGGCCGCUCCUGCCCCAUCAUCGUGCACUGCAGUGACGGUGCGGGGAGGACCGGCACCUACAUCCUCAUCGACAUGGUCCUGAACCGCAUGGCAAAAGGAGUGAAGGAGAUUGACAUCGCUGCCACCCUGGAGCAUGUCCGUGACCAGCGGCCUGGCCUUGUCCGCUCUAAGGACCAGUUUGAAUUUGCCCUGACAGCCGUGGCGGAGGAAGUGAAUGCCAUCCUCAAGGCUCUGCCCCAGUGAGACCCUGGGGCCCCUUGGCGGGCAGCCCAGCCUCUGUCCCUCUUUGCCCGUGUGAGCAUCUCUGUGUACCCACUCCUCACUGCCCCACCAGCCACCUCUUGGGCAUGCUCAGCUCUUCCUAGAAGAGUCAGGAAGGGAAAGCCAGAAGGGGCACACCUGCCCAGCCUCACGCAUGCCAGAGCUGGGGCAUCCCAGAGCCCAGGGCAUCCCAUGGGGGUGCUGCAGCCAGGAGGAGAGGAAAGGACAUGGGUAGCAAUUCUACCCAGAGCCUUCUCCUGCCUACAUUCCCUGGCCUGGCUCUCCUGUAGCUCUCCUGGGGUUCUGGGAGCUCCCCGAACAUCUGUGUGUGUCCCCCUAUGCUCCAGUAUGGAAGAAUGGGGUGGAGGGUCGCCACACCCGGCUCCCCCUGCUUCUCAGCCCCGGGCCUGCCUCUGACUCACACUCGGGCGCUCUGCCCUCCCUGGCCUCACGCCCAGCCUCCUCCCACCACCCUCCCACCAUGCGCUGCUCAACCUCUCUCCUUCUGGCGCAAGAGAACAUUUCUAGAAAAAACUACUUUUGUACCAGUGUGAAUAAAGUUAGUGUGUUGUCUGUGCAGCUGC
This 2240-nucleotide small RNA is filed under the name Pan troglodytes (chimpanzee). RNAcentral's name for it is "retained intron". Lineage: Eukaryota; Metazoa; Chordata; Mammalia; Primates; Hominidae. The record is from RNAcentral.